GUCUCUAUAGUUCAAUGGAAGAACGGUCGGUUUCUACCCGAUAGAUGUGGGUUCGAAUCCUACUAGAGAUA
Molecule: transfer RNA, 71 nt
Filed under: Richelia sp. RM2_1_2
Lineage: Bacteria; Bacillati; Cyanobacteriota; Cyanophyceae; Nostocales; Nostocaceae
Description: tRNA-Arg
Rfam family: tRNA
About the family: Transfer RNA (tRNA) molecules are approximately 80 nucleotides in length. Their secondary structure includes four short double-helical elements and three loops (D, anti-codon, and T loops).
Source: RNAcentral